GAUGAACGCUGGCGGCGUGCCUAAUACAUGCAAGUCGAGCGAACAGACGAGGAGCUUGCUCCUCUGACGUUAGCGGCGGACGGGUGAGUAACACGUGGAUAACCUACCUAUAAGACUGGGAUAACUUCGGGAAACCGGAGCUAAUACCGGAUAAUAUAUUGAACCGCAUGGUUCAAUAGUGAAAGACGGUUUUGCUGUCACUUAUAGAUGGAUCCGCGCCGCAUUAGCUAGUUGGUAAGGUAACGGCUUACCAAGGCAACGAUGCGUAGCCGACCUGAGAGGGUGAUCGGCCACACUGGAACUGAGACACGGUCCAGACUACUACGGGAGGCAGCAGUAGGGAAUCUUCCGCAAUGGGCGAAAGCCGGACGGAGCAACGCCGCGGGAGUGAUGAAGGUCUUCGGAUCGUAAAACUGUGUUAUUAGGGAAGAACAAAUGUGUAAGUAACUAUGCACGUCUUGACGGUACCUAAUCAGAAAGCCACGGCUAACUACGUG
Molecule: ribosomal RNA, 497 nt
Filed under: uncultured bacterium
Lineage: Bacteria
Description: partial 16S ribosomal RNA
Rfam family: Bacterial small subunit ribosomal RNA
Source: RNAcentral